UACGUAGGGGGCAAGCGUUGUCCGGAAUCAUUGGGCGUAAAGCGCGUGUAGGCGGCCUUGUAAGUCCGUUCUGAAAGCCCGGGGCUCAACCCCGGGAGGCGGAUGGAUACUGCAGGGCUCGAGUACGGAAGAGGCGAGUGGAAUUCCCGGUGUAGCGGUGGAAUGCGUAGAGAUCCGGAAGAACACCGGUGGCGAAGGCGGUCUGCUGGGCAGUUGCUGACACUGAGGCGCGACAGCGUGGGGAGCAAACAGG
Molecule: ribosomal RNA, 253 nt
Filed under: uncultured bacterium
Lineage: Bacteria
Description: partial 16S ribosomal RNA
Rfam family: Bacterial small subunit ribosomal RNA
Source: RNAcentral